UGGGGAAUUUUGGACAAUGGGCGCAAGCCUGAUCCAGCCGUGCCGCGUGCAGGAUGAAGGCCUUCGGGUUGUAAACUGCUUUUGUACGGAACGAAAAGGUGCCUUCUAAUAAAGGGCGCUCAUGACGGUACCGUAAGAAUAAGCACCGGCUAACUACGUGCCAGCAGCCGCGGUAAUACGUAGGGACCAAGCGUUGUUCGGAUUUACUGGGCGUAAAGGGCGCGUAGGCGGCAAUUCAAGUCAGCUGUGAAAUCUCUGGGCUUAACCCGGAACGGCCAGCUGAUACUGCUUUGCUAGAGUGCGGAAGGGGCAAUCGGAAUUCUUGGUGUAGCGGUAAAAUGCGUAGAUAUCAAGAGGAACACCUGAGGUGAAGACGGGUUGCUGGGCCGACACUGACGCUGAGGCGCGAAAGCCAGGGGAGCAAACG
Molecule: ribosomal RNA, 427 nt
Filed under: uncultured bacterium
Lineage: Bacteria
Description: bacterial SSU rRNA
Rfam family: Bacterial small subunit ribosomal RNA
Source: RNAcentral